Molecule: ribosomal RNA, 484 nt
Filed under: uncultured bacterium
Lineage: Bacteria
Description: partial 16S ribosomal RNA
Rfam family: Bacterial small subunit ribosomal RNA
Source: RNAcentral
AUUGAACGCUGGCGGCAUGCUUUACACAUGCAAGUCGAACGGCAGCACGGGCUUCGGCCUGGUGGCGAGUGGCGAACGGGUGAGUAAUAUAUCGGAACGUACCCAGAAGUGGGGGAUAACGUAGCGAAAGUUACGCUAAUACCGCAUACGAUCUAUGGAUGAAAGCAGGGGACCGCAAGGCCUUGUGCUCCUGGAGCGGCCGAUAUCUGAUUAGCUAGUUGGUGAGGUAAAGGCUCACCAAGGCGACGAUCAGUAGCUGGUCUGAGAGGACGACCAGCCACACUGGAACUGAGACACGGUCCAGACUCCUACGGGAGGCAGCAGUGGGGAAUUUUGGACAAUGGGCGCAGGCCUGAUCCAGCAAUGCCGCGUGAGUGAAGAAGGCCUUCGGGUUGUAAAGCUCUUUUGUCAGGGAAGAAACGGUAGAGGCUAAUAUCCUUUGCUAAUGACGGUACCUGAAGAAUAAGCACCGGCUAACUACGUG